Long non-coding RNA from Parasteatoda tepidariorum (common house spider), 564 nucleotides. The record is from RefSeq and is a predicted model, not a curated record. Lineage: Eukaryota; Metazoa; Arthropoda; Arachnida; Araneae; Theridiidae.
AUAUUUAAAAGUUAAUUUUAGUUUAACAAUGCCUAUUAAAAAUAAUAAAUCUGUUAAUGUUACAUGCUUCAUUUAAUUGUUACACUCAUAUUCUGUUAAUUAAUAGUAAGUAAAGUAAAUGUUUCAGAAAGGGUUUUACUAUGAAAUUGGGCUAUGAAAAGGUUUUAUUUUUAAAUGUGUUUGGUUUAACUGGUUAAGAAAAUGUGGUUUCUCUAACAGGAACAGUUUAAAUCUGAACUUCCUUAAAUUUUACAUUCAUAACACCACUUAUUUUGGCAGAUAUUGCUGGAGGAGUGGGGACAAUAGGAAAAGAACUUCUUGGUGGAGUUGGAAAUAUGGGUGAAGAUCUUCUAAGCCAAGCUGCUGAAGGCAUUGGAAACGCAGCCAAUGACCUGUUAGGUUUCUUGGGUGGUUUGGGUGGAGCUGGUGGAUCCAAAGAAAAAUCAUCGGUAACAGAAAGCUGAUUCUAAGAAGGAUUAAUAAACAAGCCUCAAGAAUUAUUAUUGAUAACUUUUUUUAAAAAAAUAUACUAGUGUUUCACAAUAAAAAAAUAAUUAAAAAAUU